GUCUACAGCCACCCCAGCAUGAAUGCACGUGGUCUUGCUGAUCUCGGAAGCUAAGCAGGAGGCCUGGUUAGCACUUGGAUGGGAGACUAAGCAAAAAGCCAAGGAUUGAUAAACC
Ribosomal RNA from Bos indicus x Bos taurus (hybrid cattle), 115 nucleotides. The record is from Ensembl. NCBI's taxonomy places the organism in Eukaryota, Metazoa, Chordata, Mammalia, Artiodactyla, Bovidae.